This 446-nucleotide ribosomal RNA is filed under the name uncultured bacterium. Its description in RNAcentral is "partial 16S ribosomal RNA". It matches the Rfam family "Bacterial small subunit ribosomal RNA", at positions 338 to 795 of the family's 1533-position model. The record is from RNAcentral.
CCUACGGGUGGCUGCAGUCGAGAAUCAUUCACAAUGGGGGAAACCCUGAUGGUGCGACGCCGCGUGGGGGAAUGAAGGUCUUCGGAUUGUAAACCCCUGUCAUGUGGGAGCAAAUUAAAAAGAUAGUACCCCAAGAGUAAGAGACGGCUAACUCUGUACCAGCAGCCCCGGUAAUACAGAGGUCUCAAGCGUUGUUCGGAAGCACUGGGCGUAAAGCGUGCGUAUGCUGUUUCGUAAGUCGUGUGUGAAAGGCGCGGGCUCAACCCGCGGGCGGCACAUGAUACUGCGGGACUAGAGUAAGGGAGGGGGAUGCGGAAUUCUCGGUGUAGCAGUGAAAUGCGUAGAUAUCGAGAGGAACACUCGUGGCGAAGGCGGGUUACUGGACAUUAACUGACGCUGAGGCACGAAGGCCAGGGGAGCGAAAGGGAUUAGAUACCCGAGUAGUC